RNAcentral lists this ribosomal RNA (493 nucleotides) under uncultured bacterium. Its description in RNAcentral is "partial 16S ribosomal RNA". It matches the Rfam family "Bacterial small subunit ribosomal RNA", at positions 30 to 507 of the family's 1533-position model. The record is from RNAcentral.
AGUGAACGCUGGCGGUAGGCCUAACACAUGCAAGUCGAACGGCAGCACAGUAAGAGCUUGCUCUUACGGGUGGCGAGUGGCGGACGGGUGAGGAAUACAUCGGAAUCUACUUUUUCGUGGGGGAUAACGUAGGGAAACUUACGCUAAUACCGCAUACGACCUACGUGUGAAAGCAGGGGAUCUUCGGACCUUGCGCGAUUGAAUGAGCCGAUGUCGGAUUAGCUAGUUGGCGGGGUAAAGGCCCACCAAGGCGACGAUCCGUAGCUGGUCUGAGAGGAUGAGAGGCGAGACUGGGACGAAGAGACGGCCCAGACGCAGACGGGAGGCAGCAGAAGGGAAUCGUCGGCAAUGGACGAAAGUCUGACAGAGCAACGACGAGUGAGUGAAGAAGGUGGUGGUAUCGUAAAGCGCGGUUGUAAGAGAAGAACGGGUGUGAGAGUGGAAAGUUCACACUGUGACGGUAGGUUACAAGAAAGGGACGGAGAACUACGUG